Non-coding RNA from Kingella denitrificans ATCC 33394, 365 nucleotides. It matches the Rfam family "transfer-messenger RNA". Rfam says of the family: Bacterial tmRNA, also known as 10Sa RNA or SsrA, is named for its dual tRNA and mRNA-like properties. Its role is to liberate the mRNA from a stalled ribosome. NCBI's taxonomy places the organism in Bacteria, Pseudomonadati, Pseudomonadota, Betaproteobacteria, Neisseriales, Neisseriaceae. The record is from Rfam.
GGGGGCGACCUUGGUUUCGACGGGGGUUACGAAGCAAAUACGGGCAUACCGGGUUUUCAGUUACCCGUAAAACACUGAAUCAAAAUAGUCGCAAACGACGAAACUUACGCUCUGGCCGCUUAAGGCUAGCCGUUGCAGCAGUUGGCCGAUGGGCUGUGUAGGGUAAAACCUACGGCAACGUCAUAUUACAUUGGCUGGCCGUUUGUCGGGUUACUUGGCAAACGGCGAGAUUUAAGGUAACUGGUUUUCUGAAAGCCUGUCUGUCGGCGUGAUGAAAACGAGAUUUUCAAAUGGACAAGACUAAGUAUGUAGAACGUUUUGUAGAGAGCUUUCGGACGGGGGUUCGAUUCCCCCCGCCUCCACCA